ACCUGACUUUGCCCUCCAGGAUGUCUGGCUCUAGAAAGAGCUGCGGGUUGAUUGAUAGAAUUGGACCUUGACUGACGGUCUGGAGUGCAGCGGCAGCAGCAGCGGCUUGGAAGCAGGCGAGCUGUGUGUUGGCUCCACGGAAGCUGACGCGCAGAGGCUCUCAGCGUGCUGGCCUUGAAUGAGAGGUGUUUUAGAUGGGAAUGUCAGUGUUUUAGUUUUAUGAGAAAACAGCUCACCUGUUAGAGCUGUCAUUGUUUCGAUGACUGUGGAAUGAUUGAACAUAUGUGAAUUGCUGUA
This is a long non-coding RNA of Capra hircus (goat), 297 nucleotides long. RefSeq lists it as uncharacterized. The record is from RefSeq and is a predicted model, not a curated record. Lineage: Eukaryota; Metazoa; Chordata; Mammalia; Artiodactyla; Bovidae. The transcript has 2 exons.